GAUGAAGAACGUAGCGGAAUGCGAUACGUAAUGUGAAUUGCAGAAUUCAGUGAAUCAUCGAGUCUUUGAACGCACAUUGCGCCCCCUGGUAUUCCGGGGGGCAUGCCUGUCCGAGCGUCAUUGCUGCCCUCAAGCACGGCUUGUGUGUUGGGCCUCCGUCCUCCUCCCGGGGGACGGGCCCGAAAGGCAGCGGCGGCACCGCGUCCGGUCCUCGAGCGUAUGGGGCUUCGUCACCCGCUCUUGUAGGCCCGGCCGGCGCUUGCCGACACAUCAAUCUUUUUUCCAGGUUGACCUCGGAUCAGGUAGGGAUACCCGCUGAACUUAAGCAUAUCAAUAAGCGGAGGA
Molecule: unclassified non-coding RNA, 345 nt
Filed under: soil metagenome
Description: partial contains 5.8S ribosomal RNA, internal transcribed spacer 2, and large subunit ribosomal RNA
Rfam family: 5.8S ribosomal RNA (bases 1-120)
Source: RNAcentral